GUGGUUACUAGUUAAUGAGAACCUUCAAAAGAAAACAGGGUUAAAUUGACAAAGACUGUAAAAAAAAAAUAACUUUUUUUUCCCCUUUUUAAUCCUUUUUGCAAAACAAACUGGCGUUUCCCCUAUUUUCCCAACUUAUUUUACAGAAGUUAGCUGUCUCAGAAUGAGCAUGUGCAGACAGGCAAGAAGACAGAGUUUGGUAUAAAUAUACCCACCCUGUCAAAUUUUCAUUCUCAGGUGGUCAGCACAGGCACAUUAGUGCAGAAAAAGGGUAAAUCCUACUUUAGCCAGAGUUUGUUACAGGGCAGUAAGUAUUUAUCACUCAUCCCUUUAAGCUCGCUUUCCCAAUAAUGCAAAUGCAGGGCUACCUACGAACUUUGUGUUGCCUGUUGCACAUUUCUAUGAAAAACUGUGCUCUUGAUGCACAUGUAUAUCCUUUUCUUUCUUCUUCUUGAAAAAUCUAUCUAGACUUGGAGGGCUGUUACAGCAUAAGGAUUUGAUAUUUCUGGACUGUGCUCAACUUGGUAGAGGCACCAGGAGCUCCAAGGAUCCUCCUGAUCCUACAGAGAGCCCAGCUCCAGAGAAAUCAGGACUGUUUGUUCCAAGCCACGUGAAGAUGUAUCCGGAGGCUGCAUUAAAAAAAAAAAUAGAGGCGACUGUACGUUUGCAGGUCAUAAAGCUUCCUAAAGUUAUUUAAGAAACAUAACACUGAAAUUGCUUCUUCUGCCUUCAUGAAGAUUGGGUGCAAUGAUAGACUGAGGAAAGCCAUUGCCUCUGCUCAGAGACAACUUACACUUUCUAAGUGGCUCAUGAACAGCUGAAGUCAACCCUGGUCAUACCAAUGAGAGCACAGUCAAUAAAGAUAAUUGUGUUUGUUUAGCA
This 882-nucleotide long non-coding RNA is filed under the name Anas platyrhynchos platyrhynchos (common mallard). Its description in RNAcentral is "lncRNA (ENSAPLG00000019432.1)". The record is from RNAcentral. Lineage: Eukaryota; Metazoa; Chordata; Aves; Anseriformes; Anatidae.